Molecule: ribosomal RNA, 271 nt
Filed under: uncultured bacterium
Lineage: Bacteria
Description: partial 16S ribosomal RNA
Rfam family: Bacterial small subunit ribosomal RNA
Source: RNAcentral
UACGAAGGGUGCAAGCGUUACUCGGAAUUACUGGGCGUAAAGCGUGCGUAGGUGGUUCGUUAAGUCAGAUGUGAAAGCCCCGGGCUCAACCUGGGAAUUGCAUUUGAUACUGGCGGGCUAGAGUGCGGCAGAGGGGGAUGGAAUUCCGCGUGUAGCAGUGAAAUGCGUAGAUAUGCGGAGGAACACCGAUGGCGAAGGCAAUCCCCUGGGCCUGCACUGACGCUCAUGCACGAAAGCGUGGGGAGCAAACGGGAUUAGAUACCCGGGUAGU